This 191-nucleotide ribosomal RNA is filed under the name uncultured bacterium. RNAcentral's name for it is "partial 16S ribosomal RNA". It matches the Rfam family "Bacterial small subunit ribosomal RNA", at positions 338 to 521 of the family's 1533-position model. The record is from RNAcentral.
CCUACGGGAGGCAGCAGUGGGGAAUAUUGGACAAUGGGGGCAACCCUGAUCCAGCAAUACCGCGUGUGUGAAGAAGGCCUGCGGGUUGUAAAGCACUUUCAGUAGGGAAGAAAAGCCAGAGGCGAAUAACCUCGGGUGUUGACGUUACCUACAGAAGAAGCACCGGCUAGCUCCGUGCCAGCAGCCGCGGU